Molecule: ribosomal RNA, 520 nt
Filed under: uncultured Bacillus sp.
Lineage: Bacteria; Bacillati; Bacillota; Bacilli; Caryophanales; Bacillaceae
Description: bacterial SSU rRNA
Rfam family: Bacterial small subunit ribosomal RNA
Source: RNAcentral
GAGUUUGAUCGUGGCUCAGGACGAACGCUGGCGGCGUGCCUAAUACAUGCAAGUCGAGCGAAUGAUGAAGAAGCUUGCUUCUUCUGAUUUAGCGGCGGACGGGUGAGUAACACGUGGGCAACCUGCCCUGUAGAUUGGGAUAACUCCGGGAAACCGGGGCUAAUACCGAAUAAUCCAUUUCCUCACAUGUGGAGAUGUUAAAAGACGGUUUCGGCUGUCACUACAGGAUGGGCCCGCGGCGCAUUAGCUAGUUGGUGAGGUAACGGCUCACCAAGGCGACGAUGCGUAGCCGACCUGAGAGGGUGAUCGGCCACACUGGGACUGAGACACGGCCCAGACUCCUACGGGAGGCAGCAGUAGGGAAUCUUCCACAAUGGACGAAAGUCUGAUGGAGCAACGCCGCGUGAGUGAAGAAGGUUUUCGGAUCGUAAAACUCUGUUGUGAGGGAAGAACAAGUACGAGAGUAACUGCUCGUACCUUGACGGUACCUCAUUAGAAAGCCACGGCUAACUACGUGCCA